Molecule: ribosomal RNA, 434 nt
Filed under: uncultured Lachnospiraceae bacterium
Lineage: Bacteria; Bacillati; Bacillota; Clostridia; Lachnospirales; Lachnospiraceae
Description: partial 16S ribosomal RNA
Rfam family: Bacterial small subunit ribosomal RNA
Source: RNAcentral
ACGGAAGGCAGCAGUGGGGAAUAUUGCACAAUGGGGGAAACCCUGAUGCAGCGACGCCGCGUGAGUGAAGAAGUAUUUCGGUAUGUAAAGCUCUAUCAGCAGGGAAGAUAAUGACGGUACCUGACUAAGAAGCACCGGCUAAAUACGUGCCAGCAGCCGCGGUAAUACGUAUGGUGCAAGCGUUAUCCGGAUUUACUGGGUGUAAAGGGAGCGUAGACGGCAAUGCAAGUCUGAUGUGAAAUCUCCGGGCUCAACCCGGAAACUGCAUUGGAAACUGUAUAGCUAGAGUGCAGGAGAGGUAAGCGGAAUUCCUAGUGUAGCGGUGAAAUGCGUAGAUAUUAGGAGGAACACCAGUGGCGAAGGCGGCUUACUGGACGAUAACUGACGUUGAGGCUCGAAAGCGUGGGGAGCAAACAGGAUUAGAUACCCUGGUA